GGCCACUGUGGCAAGACGAAGGAGGGGUGGGCAGGAACCACGUGCUGGUAAGGAGACUGGUUUUGUUCUAGAUGUGACAGAGAAGCAGGGAAAUGACAUGAUCUCACGUAAGCUGGCUGCAUUCUGGAUCUUUUCCUUUUGCGACUCACCGUUUGCUCUGGCUUUAUAGCUACUGCAACAAAUAGGGAUUGCUUCAGGGAUGGACACAUAAUUCAUUCAGACUAAGGAGGCAUGGCAAGAAUCUGAGGCUUCUGAGAAGAAGAAGUGAACUUCUUCUCUUAUGGGAUUAGUGUUGUGAUGGUAGACGUGAAGUCUGGAGCUACAACCGUCUUGGAACCAGAAGAGGCUAAAGCUCCCAGCAGCUGGGAAGAAUGGAACCAACUAAGAAGAACCUAAGAGCAGAGAGACGGGUCCCGGUGAUAUGGUUAUUCCCUUGAUUCAGCUAUGCAUGAAGCCAGUUACCACGUAGUUUUCCUUUUUUUUUUUUUUUUUUUAAAUUAA
Long non-coding RNA from Neofelis nebulosa (Clouded leopard), 501 nucleotides. RefSeq lists it as uncharacterized. The record is from RefSeq and is a predicted model, not a curated record. The transcript has 3 exons. Lineage: Eukaryota; Metazoa; Chordata; Mammalia; Carnivora; Felidae.